AAUAGAGGGUUUGAUUAUGGCUCAGAUUGAACGCUGGCGGGAUGCUUUACACAUGCAAGUCGAACGGCAGCACGGACUUCGGUCUGGUGGCGAGUGGCGAACGGUGAGUAAUGUAUCGGAACGUGCUCUAGUAAAGGGAUAACUACGCGAAAGGUAGUUGCACAUCGCAGGCGUCACCCCUUCGGGGAAAGCGGGGGACCUUCGGGCCUCGCACUAUUAGAGCGGCCGAUAUCGGAUUAGCUAGUUGGUGGGGUAACGGCUCACUGGUUGGGCGACGAUCCGUAGCUGGUUUGAGAGGACGACCAGCCACACUGGGACUGAGACACGGCCCAGACUACGGAGGCAUGGUGGGGAAUUUCUUGGAUAAUGGGGGAAACCUCGAUCCAGCUACCUGCGUGUGCGAUGAAGGCCUUCGGGUUGUAAAGCAAUUUUGGCAGGAAGAAACGGCACGGGGAUAAUACCCCGUGCAACUGACGGUACCUGCAGAAUAAGCACCGGCUAACUACGUGCCAGCAGCCGCGGUAAUGCACGUAGGGUAAGCGUUAAUCGGAAUUACUGGGCGUAAAGCGUGCGCAGGCGGUUCGGAAGAAAGUGAUGGAAAUCCCAGAGCUUAACUUUGGGAACUGCAUUUUUAACUACCGAGCUAGAGUGUGUCAGAGGGAGGUGGAAUUCCGCGUGUAGCAGUAGAAAUGCGUAGAUAUGCGGGAGGAACACCGAUGGCGAAGGCAGCCUCCUGGGAUAACACUGACGCUCAUGCACGAAAGCGUGGGGAGCAAACAGGAUUAGAUACCCUGGUAGUCCACGCUCAAACGAUGUCAACUAGCUGCUGGGGCCUUCGGCCUUGGUAGCGCAGCUAAUCGCGAAGUUGACCGCCUGGGGAGUACGGUCGCAAGAUUAAACUCAAAGGACUACUUGGGACCUGUACAAGCGGUGGAUGAUGUGGAUUAAUUGAUGCAACGCGAAAAACCUUACCUACCCUUGACAUGUCUGGAAUCCCGAAGAGAUUUGGGAGUGCUCGCAAGAGAACCGGAACACAGGUGCUGCAGCGGUUGUCGUCAGCUCGCCGUGAGAUGUUAAGUUAAGUCCCGCAACGAGCGCAACCUUCGUCACACGAGCAGCAUGAAAGGGCACUCUCUAUCGAAUGUCGGUAUUAACGGGAGGAAGGUGGGAUACGUCAAGUCCUUAUGUACCUUAUGGGUAGGGCUUCACACGUCAUACAAUGGUCGGGACAGAGGGUCGCCAACCCGCGAGGGGGAGCCAAUCCUAGAAACCCGAUCGUAGUCCGAUCGCAGUCUGCAACUCGACUGCGCAAGCUCGAACGCUGGUAAUCGCGAUCAGCAUGUCGCGGUGAAUACGUUCCGGGUCUUGUACACACCGCCCGUCACUUACCAUGGGGAGGGGUUUUACCAGAAGUAGUUAGCUCAACCGUUAGAGGGCGAUUACCACGGUAGAUUCAUGACUGGGGUGAAGUCGUGACAAGGUAG
Molecule: ribosomal RNA, 1484 nt
Filed under: uncultured Bordetella sp.
Lineage: Bacteria; Pseudomonadati; Pseudomonadota; Betaproteobacteria; Burkholderiales; Alcaligenaceae
Description: partial 16S-23S ribosomal RNA intergenic spacer
Rfam family: Bacterial small subunit ribosomal RNA
Source: RNAcentral